RNAcentral lists this ribosomal RNA (248 nucleotides) under uncultured bacterium. RNAcentral's name for it is "partial 16S ribosomal RNA". It matches the Rfam family "Bacterial small subunit ribosomal RNA", at positions 524 to 776 of the family's 1533-position model. The record is from RNAcentral.
AACGGAGGGGGCAAGCGUUAUUCAUCCUUAUUGGGCGUAAAGGGUAUGUAGGUGAUGAAAAGUAUUUUUAUAAAAUAUCAAAUAUUCUUUUGAUGCAGGUGAAAAUAUUGAUCAAUUUGAGAUGGUAGGGGUUGGCGGUAUUACUAAUGUAAAGGUAAAAUUUUACGAUAUUAGUACGAAUACCAGAGGCGCAGGCGGCUUUCUUUGACAUCUGACACUGAGAUACUAAAGCAUGGGGAUCAAACAGG